AUACGGAGGGUGCAAGCGUUGUUCGGAAUUACUGGGCGUAAAGCGUGUGCAGGCGGCCGGAUUAGUCAUAUGUGAAAGCCCUCGGCUCAACCGAGGAAGUGCAUGUGAUACUGUCUGGCUUGAGUCCUGGAGAGGGGUGUGGAAUUCCCGGUGUAGAGGUGAAAUUCGUAGAUAUCGGGAGGAACACCAGUGGCGAAGGCGACACCCUGGAUGGAGACUGACGCUGAUACACAAAAGCGUGGGGAGCAAACAGGAUUAGAAACCCCAGUAGUCC
This 274-nucleotide ribosomal RNA is filed under the name uncultured bacterium. Its description in RNAcentral is "partial 16S ribosomal RNA". It matches the Rfam family "Bacterial small subunit ribosomal RNA", at positions 523 to 796 of the family's 1533-position model. The record is from RNAcentral.